Bos taurus (domestic cattle) is the source of this 71-nucleotide non-coding RNA. Lineage: Eukaryota; Metazoa; Chordata; Mammalia; Artiodactyla; Bovidae. The record is from Rfam.
UCCCAAGUGGCUUAGUGGUAAAGAAUCUGCCUGCUGAGCAGGAUAUGCAGGUUUGAUCCCUGGGUGGGGAA